RNAcentral lists this non-coding RNA (207 nucleotides) under Elphidium margaritaceum. The record is from RNAcentral. Lineage: Eukaryota; Foraminifera; Rotaliida; Elphidiidae.
UUUAUAUUACAUGCAUUGUACGAUUGUUGUUUUUUGUUGGAUUUUUUUUUUAUUUAUUUUGUUGCCCGAAUCCGAUUCGUUUCUUUUUUUUCUGUUUUUUUGCUGUAAAAGUUUCAACAUCAAUUUCAGACGUUAUUCUUCCCUGGUGUGACGGUGUAUUACAGAUUUUUUUGUUGAUCAAUCCUGAUUGAUGUAACCAUGCAUGUU